UGAUCUACAUUUUGAACCUACUUUUGAGGUGA
RNAcentral lists this non-coding RNA (32 nucleotides) under Homo sapiens (human). The record is from RNAcentral. Lineage: Eukaryota; Metazoa; Chordata; Mammalia; Primates; Hominidae.